This is an RNA transcript of Diabrotica virgifera virgifera (western corn rootworm), 3017 nucleotides long. RefSeq lists it as uncharacterized. The transcript has 11 exons. The record is from RefSeq and is a predicted model, not a curated record. Lineage: Eukaryota; Metazoa; Arthropoda; Insecta; Coleoptera; Chrysomelidae.
AUUAAACAAAAUGAAAGACCUGUUUGACAACUGCUAACUUCACACUUACAGAAUUUAGAGAAUUUUAUGAGGAGAAAUGUUCAAUCUUCCUUGUAAGCAGAGAAUAUUAUAAAAGUAAAAGAUUAAUGUAUGAUAAUACACCUGUCACCGGUAGCAAAAUAUAAGUUAGUAAUUUUGAACAAUGGACACUAUAUCUAAAUCUAAGUCUAAUCCUCCUGAUGACUCUUCCUCUAAAAAGAAACACAAGAAAGAGCAUAAACAUAAGCACAAAAAGCAUACUUUGGAGAAGAAUGAAAAAGUUAAGACUAAAAAGCAUAAGAAACACAAGAAACCUAAACACAAGGAUGCAGAUACACCAGAUGAUACAAGUGGAAGGUAUACUCCAGUUCCAAAGAGUAAUGGUAAUGGGGUCGUUGUCAAUGGCUCUACAGAUCCUGAUACAGUUUCUGAGGCAUUAAUAUCAGGUUUAGUUGCGGAAAAAUCCCAAGAAGUAGUGUCAUCAGAAAGCGAAGGCGUUGCAGAAGCAGAUUGCGAUAGUGUAGACAUCGACAUGAACGUUAUUGAGGCUGAUAUGGAUCUGGAAGAAUUAAUGAAGCAAAAGGAGCUGCUCCAAGCUCAGCUUGCAAAAGCGGAAGGAACUUUAAAUGAUGAUAUUAAAGAGAAAGAAGGCGAGGUGAUAUUGUUAGAGGAUUCAGAUGACCAGGAACUAAUUGCUCCGAAGAGAAAAAGGUCUAGAAGCAGAGACAGAAAAACUGAAGUUAGAAAUAAGGAUGAUUCAAGGAAAAAGUGUAAUAGGACAAGAGAUUUUUAUCCUUAUAGAGAACAAGAAAGGAGAGAUAGAUACCCCCGAGAUCAAGACCGUUUCAGAAGCAGACACGAAAGAGAGCGUUCACGCGAGAGAUCAUCACAUUAUAAUGAUUCAUUGCGGCAUAGAUCCCGGGAAAGAUCUAGGGAGAGACGAUUUAAAGACUCGCGCAAUUAUAGCCAUAAAGAUAGGCACAGAAACGAUGGAGACUAUAAUAAAAGACACAGAGACUCUGGUAAGUCAAGGAGUGAAAAACAUGAUAAGUAUAAGGACUCGUUGAGCGAAGGUCAGAAGCGCCAAGAAAGUACUGAUAGUAGUGAUGUCGAGGUUGAUAUAGAUUUGAAAGAGGAUGAAGAUGAAGAGACUAUUAUUGAGAGAAGGAGGAAGCAGAGGGAAGAAUUACUCAAGCGUCUUGGAGCCGACGAUCCAAGCUCAGCCAUGUCAAGAUCUCAAUCUCCUGAAGUCCAAAUCGUUGAACAAAAUCAAGCUGCCGUUCCAGAGGUUCCUAAAACAGAAACGACACAGGAGCAAAUACCAGACACACCCAAACUGCAAUCAGAAGUUGAAAAAGAAGAUGAAGAAUCGCUGACUCCACCACUUCUGCCUAACAUGAAAACAGUUGCUCUAACUGUUGAUAAAAAGGUUGACAAAAAGAGAGCCGAUUGGGAUAUGUUCGCAGAACAGGACAUAUUUAAAGUCAACACUGCCUCACCAAGCACAAUUACUACUAAGGGCUCGGCUGCCGAAAAUCCAGCUCUUACAGACAAUUGGGACGAUGCAGAAGGGUAUUAUAGAGUUCGCAUUGGAGAAAUAUUAGACUCCAGAUACAUGGUGUACGGGUAUACAGGUCAAGGUGUAUUCAGUAAUGUUGUUAGAGCACGAGAUCAAGCUCGUGGUAAUCAGGAUGUAGCUGUGAAGAUUAUUCGAAACAAUGAAAUAAUGCACAAAACCGGCUUAAAGGAGUUGGAAAUACUGAAAAAGCUCAAUGACGCCGAUCCAGAAGACAAGCUUCACUGUCUUCGACUUAUACGACAUUUUUUCCACAAGCAGCAUCUGUGUAUGGUUUUCGAACCUUUGGCGAUGAAUCUUCGAGAGGUUUUGAAGAAAUAUGGAAAAGAUGUGGGUCUGCACGUGAAGGCAGUUCGAAGUUAUACUCAACAGUUGUUGCUUGCAUUGAAAUUACUGAAAAAGUCUGGCAUAUUACACGCAGAUAUCAAACCCGAUAACAUUCUCGUCAACGAAAGUAAACACCUUCUUAAACUCUGCGAUUUUGGUUCGGGGUCAAAGAUAAACGAAAACGAAAUAACCCCCUAUUUGGUGUCGAGAUUUUACCGAGCCCCCGAAAUCAUCCUCGGCAUGACGUACGACUACGGCAUCGACAUGUGGUCCGCGGCCUGCACCAUCUACGAAUUAUAUACGGGGCGAAUAAUGUUUUCCGGCAAGUCUAACAACCAGAUGCUGAAGUUUUUCAUGGACGUUAAAGGGAAAUUUCCGAAUAAGGUGAUACGAAAAGGGGCAUUUAAGGAUCAACAUUUCGAUUCGAAUUAUAAUUUUUUGUAUCAAGAGAUCGAUAAGGUCACUGAACGGGAAAAGGUCGUAGUUAUGUCUGUGGUAAAAGUGUCACGUGACUUACAUUCGGAACUUAUAGCUGGCCAGAGCUUACCUACAGAACAACUACGCAAAGUAACCCAGCUCAAGGACCUUCUGGAAAAAGCACUGGCGAUCGAUCCCGCCAAGAGGAUAAGCCUGAACAAUGCAUUGACUCACCCAUUCAUCCAAGACAAGAUCUAGAAAAGGUUUAGAGAGAAUGUUGAUAGAGGAAACCAGACAUAUCGCUACGAGCAGAUGGUUUGAAACUUUUCAAAGAAAGUGAAAACUGAAUCAUACAAACAAUUGAAUUGAAUUAUGAACAAAAGAAUUGGUUAUGACAUGCAUUUAAAAGUUAGCUGCAUGAAAGACUGGGAAAAAGAGGCUAAGUAUUCUACCGUUUAUUAGAUCACAUUCUAAUCAUUUUUAUUUUUAUUUUAGUUUGAAUUAUCUAAUAGUAUAAAUUGAGAAGAAGUUUAAGCUAAAGACAAGAGACAACAGAUGGAGCAGCUAAUUUGGAAUAGUACAGAUUGAUACAAGGCAAUUUAAAGUACUAGUGUGUCGUAUUGGUAUGAAUUAAAACAGUUCUUAUAAUAUGUUAACAUAAUAAAAAGUUUAUUAUGUU